UCUAUACGGAGUUACAAAGGACGACAUUAGACGAAUCAUCUGGAAAGAUGAAUCAAAGAAGGUAAUAAUCCUGUAGUCGAAAAUGUUGUCUCUCUUGAGUGGAUCCUGAGUACGACGGAGCACGUGAAAUUCCGUCGGAAUCUGGGAGGACCAUCUCCUAAGGCUAAAUACUCUCUAGUGACCGAUAGUGAACCAGUACCGUGAGGGAAAGGUGAAAAGCACCCCGGAAGGGGAGUGAAAUAGAACCUGAAACCGUGUGCUUACAAGUAGUCAGAGCCCGUUAAUGGGUGAUGGCGUGCCUUUUGUAGAAUGAACCGGCGAGUUACGAUUUGAUGCAAGGUUAAGCAGUAAAUGUGGAGCCGUAGCGAAAGCGAGUCUGAAUAGGGCGUUUAGUAUUUGGUCGUAGACCCGAAACCAGGUGAUCUACCCUUGGUCAGGUUGAAGUUCAGGUAACACUGAAUGGAGGACCGAACCGACUUACGUUGAAAAGUGAGCGGAUGAACUGAGGGUAGCGGAGAAAUUCCAAUCGAACCUGGAGAUAGCUGGUUCUCUCCGAAAUAGCUUUAGGGCUAGCCUCAAGUGAUGAUUAUUGGAGGUAGAGCACUGUUUGGACGAGGGGCCCCUCUCGGGUUACCGAAUUCAGACAAACUCCGAAUGCCAAUUAAUUUAACUUGGGAGUCAGAACAUGGGUGAUAAGGUCCGUGUUCGAAAGGGAAACAGCCCAGACCACCAGCUAAGGUCCCAAAAUAUAUGUUAAGUGGAAAAGGAUGUGGCGUUGCCCAGACAACUAGGAUGUUGGCUUAGAAGCAGCCAUCAUUUAAAGAGUGCGUAAUAGCUCACUAGUCGAGUGACACUGCGCCGAAAAUGUACCGGGGCUAAACAUAUUACCGAAGCUGUGGAUUGUCCUUUGGACAAUGGUAGGAGAGCGUUCUAAGG
This 936-nucleotide ribosomal RNA is filed under the name Staphylococcus aureus. RNAcentral describes it as "partial 23S ribosomal RNA". It matches the Rfam family "Bacterial large subunit ribosomal RNA", at positions 309 to 1246 of the family's 2925-position model. Lineage: Bacteria; Bacillati; Bacillota; Bacilli; Caryophanales; Staphylococcaceae. The record is from RNAcentral.